GUGGGGAUUAGUGGCGAACGUGUGUGAGUAACACGUGGGCAAUCUGCCCUGCACUCUGGGACAAGCCCUGGAAACGGGGUCUAAUACCGGAUACUGAUCGCCUUGGGCAUCCUUGGUGAUCGAAAGCUCCGGCGGUGCAGGAUGAGCCCGCGGCCUAUCAGCUUGUUGGUGAGGUAAUGGCUCACCAAGGCGACGACGGGUAGCCGGCCUGAGAGGGCGACCGGCCACACUGGGACUGAGACACGGCCCAGACUCCUACGGGAGGCAGCAGUGGGGAAUAUUGCACAAUGGGCGAAAGCCUGAUGCAGCGACGCCGCGUGAGGGAUGACGGCCUUCGGGUUGUAAACCUCUUUCAGCAGGGAAGAAGCGAAAGUGACGGUACCUGCAGAAGAAGCGCCGGCUAACUACGUGCCAGCAGCCGCGGUAAUACGUAGGGCGCGAGCGUUGUCCGGAAUUAUUGGGCGUAAAGAGCUCGUAGGCGGCUUGUCGCGUCGGUUGUGAAAGCCCGGGGCUUAACCCCGGGUCUGCAGUCGAUACGGGCAGGCUAGAGUUCGGUAGGGGAGAUCGGAAUUCCUGGUGUAGCGGUGAAAUGCGCAGAUAUCAGGAGGAACACCGGUGGCGAAGGCGGAUCUCUGGGCCGAUACUGACGCUGAGGAGCGAAAGCGUGGGGAGCGAACAGGAUUAGAUACCCUGGUAGUCCACGCCGUAAACGGUGGGCACUAGGUGUGGGCGACAUUCCACGUCGUCCGUGCCGCAGC
Molecule: ribosomal RNA, 758 nt
Filed under: Streptomyces cellulosae
Lineage: Bacteria; Bacillati; Actinomycetota; Actinomycetes; Kitasatosporales; Streptomycetaceae
Description: bacterial SSU rRNA
Rfam family: Bacterial small subunit ribosomal RNA
Source: RNAcentral